This 1265-nucleotide long non-coding RNA is filed under the name Chinchilla lanigera (long-tailed chinchilla). RNAcentral describes it as "lncRNA (ENSCLAG00000028119.1)". The record is from RNAcentral. Lineage: Eukaryota; Metazoa; Chordata; Mammalia; Rodentia; Chinchillidae.
UUUCACUGGAGCAGUCGGGGCUCCAAACAUUCCUUUCUGCCCUGAAGGGUUUUCCUCAUUGUUGUUGUCUUUGUGCUCCAGUGUUGCCAACUUACUGGAAUUCCUGACGUGGUUGCACAGCGGGCCCGGGCUGACCGUACAGCCAGCUGCGUUUGUGUCUGGGGCCGACCCCGCCGCUAAUCCCAGAAUAGUGCAGAAGGAGAAGGCGCGGAGAGGAGGGGCGCGGAGCAUCCCGCCUCGCUCGCACUUUUCUACCCCCUCCCCCGCAAAAGUAAUUCCAAAUUCGUGGCGGUUGUAAACAGCCUGGCCCAUGCCCGCGUUUAUCUCUGGCUUCUAUACCUGAGAAUGCUUGUGGAAAGACCGGGAGGACCGAGCCUGUGGGUCGGCAUCCGGGGAAGCACAGGCGGAUUCACUUUUAACUUAAGCCAGCAUCAUUUUUCUCCAGUACAAAGGAAACAUCUCUUGGCGGAGGGAGUCAAUGCUACACAGGUUAUGUAAACAGCGGAAACCGCCAGAAUGUUCAGUACCAGUGCUGCUGCCAACUUGCAUGAAGUUCACUUGUCGUAUUUCAAAAUGGCUUGAACUCGAACAUAUAUACCAUGGCACAGAACUUUUAACUUCAUGGUUAAAUCAGGAAGGACUUCCAAAGUCAACGUGACUUCCAAGCAGAGAUAGUGAAUGCAGACACCUGACCAAGCCCUACGAGAAGUUGUAUUCUAUUUGGACUGAAGCUAAAGCUGUCACCAUGACCCUUCUGGAAGAAUUAUAUCAAAGAAGUGGUUUAAAAAUCUGACUCCCAGAUUAAGGGGGACCAUCUUGGAUUACUCGAUUACUGUUUUUUGGUUUUUGGGGGGUUUUCUUUGAUUACUGUUAAUCCAAUACCAAAGACAGCAUUUCAAUGAAGGUCUAAAAUGUGCAUAUGCAACUCCCUGUCAAAAUGUCAAGCCACUGGGCAUGGUGGUGCACGCCUGUAAUCCCAGCUCUCGGGAGGCUGAGGCAGGAGGAUUGUUGCGAGUUUGAGACCAGCUUGGGCUACAAAGUGAGCUCAAGGCCAGCCUGAACUGCAUAGCGAGACCCUGUCUCAAAGAGACAAAAAAAAAAAAAAAAUUUUCAGUAAGUGUUCUGUACAAAAGUUCCUACAAGUCAUUAGAGGGUUUCUUCAUUCAUGAAACUUUUUAUCCAAAUAAAAUCUGAUUAAAGAAAAGAAACUUUGUGUCCAAUAAAUAAUCUCUGAUGCCCUUCACAUCACCCCUCCCAGGAACCUG